Molecule: small nuclear RNA, 194 nt
Filed under: Fasciola hepatica (liver fluke)
Lineage: Eukaryota; Metazoa; Platyhelminthes; Trematoda; Plagiorchiida; Fasciolidae
Description: U2 spliceosomal RNA
Source: RNAcentral
GCUAAGUAGGUCAAUUCUUGGGGUAGUGCAGUACGAGAUCAACCCGUGGGUGGGGUUGAACAAGCUCACAGCACCCAUCCGGCAUACAAAAAUUCAGGCCAUUUCUUUGGUCUCAAUUUAGAGACCUGUGCAGAGACCACACCGCAAAGAACAGAUACUACACGCGAUCUUGGCUCAGAAAGCUGAGAAGCGAU